UAAGUACUCCCUCCGUCCCAAAUUACCUGUCUUAGAUUUGUCCAGAUACAGAUGUAUCUAGACACAUUUUAGUGUUAGAUACAAAGGUGUCUAGAUACAUCCUAGACAAAUCUAAGACAAGUAAUUUAGGACGGAUGCAAUACUAU
Molecule: non-coding RNA, 146 nt
Organism: Triticum aestivum (bread wheat)
Lineage: Eukaryota; Viridiplantae; Streptophyta; Magnoliopsida; Poales; Poaceae
Source: Rfam